Molecule: ribosomal RNA, 1693 nt
Filed under: Escherichia coli
Lineage: Bacteria; Pseudomonadati; Pseudomonadota; Gammaproteobacteria; Enterobacterales; Enterobacteriaceae
Description: partial 23S ribosomal RNA
Rfam family: Bacterial large subunit ribosomal RNA
Source: RNAcentral
GAAGGUGUACUGUGAGGUAUGCUGGAGGUAUCAGAAGUGCGAAUGCUGACAUAAGUAACGAUAAAGCGGGUGAAAAGCCCGCUCGCCGGAAGACCAAGGGUUCCUGUCCAACGUUAAUCGGGGCAGGGUGAGUCGACCCCUAAGGCGAGGCCGAAAGGCGUAGUCGAUGGGAAACAGGUUAAUAUUCCUGUACUUGGUGUUACUGCGAAGGGGGGACGGAGAAGGCUAUGUUGGCCGGGCGACGGUUGUCCCGGUUUAAGCGUGUAGGCUGGUUUUCCAGGCAAAUCCGGAAAAUCAAGGCUGAGGCGUGAUGACGAGGCACUACGGUGCUGAAGCAACAAAUGCCCUGCUUCCAGGAAAAGCCUCUAAGCAUCAGGUAACAUCAAAUCGUACCCCAAACCGACACAGGUGGUCAGGUAGAGAAUACCAAGGCGCUUGAGAGAACUCGGGUGAAGGAACUAGGCAAAAUGGUGCCGUAACUUCGGGAGAAGGCACGCUGAUAUGUAGGUGAAGUCCCUUGCGGAUGGAGCUGAAAUCAGUCGAAGAUACCAGCUGGCUGCAACUGUUUAUUAAAAACACAGCACUGUGCAAACACGAAAGUGGACGUAUACGGUGUGACGCCUGCCCGGUGCCGGAAGGUUAAUUGAUGGGGUCAGCGCAAGCGAAGCUCUUGAUCGAAGCCCCGGUAAACGGCGGCCGUAACUAUAACGGUCCUAAGGUAGCGAAAUUCCUUGUCGGGUAAGUUCCGACCUGCACGAAUGGCGUAAUGAUGGCCAGGCUGUCUCCACCCGAGACUCAGUGAAAUUGAACUCGCUGUGAAGAUGCAGUGUACCCGCGGCAAGACGGAAAGACCCCGUGAACCUUUACUAUAGCUUGACACUGAACAUUGAGCCUUGAUGUGUAGGAUAGGUGGGAGGCUUUGAAGUGUGGACGCCAGUCUGCAUGGAGCCGACCUUGAAAUACCACCCUUUAAUGUUUGAUGUUCUAACGUUGACCCGUAAUCCGGGUUGCGGACAGUGUCUGGUGGGUAGUUUGACUGGGGCGGUCUCCUCCUAAAGAGUAACGGAGGAGCACGAAGGUUGGCUAAUCCUGGUCGGACAUCAGGAGGUUAGUGCAAUGGCAUAAGCCAGCUUGACUGCGAGCGUGACGGCGCGAGCAGGUGCGAAAGCAGGUCAUAGUGAUCCGGUGGUUCUGAAUGGAAGGGCCAUCGCUCAACGGAUAAAAGGUACUCCGGGGAUAACAGGCUGAUACCGCCCAAGAGUUCAUAUCGACGGCGGUGUUUGGCACCUCGAUGUCGGCUCAUCACAUCCUGGGGCUGAAGUAGGUCCCAAGGGUAUGGCUGUUCGCCAUUUAAAGUGGUACGCGAGCUGGGUUUAGAACGUCGUGAGACAGUUCGGUCCCUAUCUGCCGUGGGCGCUGGAGAACUGAGGGGGGCUGCUCCUAGUACGAGAGGACCGGAGUGGACGCAUCACUGGUGUUCGGGUUGUCAUGCCAAUGGCACUGCCCGGUAGCUAAAUGCGGAAGAGAUAAGUGCUGAAAGCAUCUAAGCACGAAACUUGCCCCGAGAUGAGUUCUCCCUGACUCCUUGAGAGUCCUGAAGGAACGUUGAAGACGACGACGUUGAUAGGCCGGGUGUGUAAGCGCAGCGAUGCGUUGAGCUAACCGGUACUAAUGAACCGUGAGGCUUAACCUU